CCACAAGAAGGUCAAAAAACUCUUUUGAAGUUGUCUCCAUAUAACGCCUUCCUGAUUCCAAAACAAUGACCAGAGCAAUGCUAGGAUAAAAGGUGAACUGUUUACUUAAAAUGCAGGAAGUUACUCCAGUCAAUAGUUUCCCUGCAUCCUGUAUGCCUGCAUAAUGUCUUCCAGCAUUUUGUCAGAUCUGACAUUUGCCAGAAGUCGUUUCUCUUCUUCGAAAUCUUCAGCAGCAGCAUCAGCAAUCAGCUAAGUGCGAUUCAAUGAAAGAACACACGUGGCCCUCAAGUCUCUAGAUGGACAGCCCUGUUAUAAGGAAGAUGCACCAACACCGAAAGUUCAAGACUGGACUCCUCUCCCUGUAUCAUAUACUUACAUAACAGCAGAAUUUUAAAGAGAAGUUCAACCAACAUGGUAAAGUGAAGCUUGAAAUGGAAAUAAAGUUCGCUAACAGAAAUCUGAGGGGCUGAAAAACCUCUAAUAUAUCCCAUAACUUGAGCUAUGAGUUAAGCCCUGGUGCAGAAGGUGCAAAGCGCAAGAACUAGGCACCAUCGGCAGCUGGCAGAAAACCAAUAGAAGAUUUCUUUUCUGUGCUUUUAAUGGGAAAAACUAAUACAGUCUUCGUAGGCAAUAAGAACAAAUGUUCCAUCAUUUCAUGGCAACCACGGCAAAUGUUCUGUUGAAGUUUAUAACCCCAAUAACCUUGCCAGGGACAAGACAGGCAGCAUUACAGCUCUUGCAAAUAUUCUCAAACAAGAGAUUAUGCUUUAAAAUUAACUGUAUAAGGUGCGUGCACUAGAGAGCUCUUCUCAUAAAUUCUGAUAACUGGAAAUCUUUGGACAGCCUGGAUUUGAGGGGUAUCAACCUUAUAGACUUCUAUAAACAAAACCACCAAGUUAUAAAUACUUCUUUUAGGUAUCUAUCUGCAUUGAGCAUUACUUACC
This is a long non-coding RNA of Xenopus tropicalis (tropical clawed frog), 944 nucleotides long. RefSeq lists it as uncharacterized. Lineage: Eukaryota; Metazoa; Chordata; Amphibia; Anura; Pipidae. The record is from RefSeq and is a predicted model, not a curated record. The transcript is spliced from 4 exons.